Molecule: ribosomal RNA, 445 nt
Filed under: uncultured bacterium
Lineage: Bacteria
Description: partial 16S ribosomal RNA
Rfam family: Bacterial small subunit ribosomal RNA
Source: RNAcentral
GUGAGGAAUAUUGGUCAAUGGGCGAGAGCCUGAACCAGCCAAAUCGCGUGAAGGAUGAAGGUAUUAUGUAUUGUAAACUUCUUUUAUCGGGGAAUAAAGUGCGGGACGUGUCCCGUUUUGUAUGUACCCGAAGAAUAAGGAUCGGCUAACUCCGUGCCAGCAGCCGCGGUAAUACGGAGGAUCCAAGCGUUAUCCGGAUUUAUUGGGUUUAAAGGGUGCGUAGGCGGACUGUCAAGUCAGCGGUGAAAGUCCAUGGCUCAACCAUGGAAUUGCCGUUGAAACUGUCGGUCUUGAGUGUAGAUGAGGUAGGCGGAAUUCGUAGUGUAGCGGUGAAAUGCUUAGAUAUUACGAAGAACUCCAAUUGCGUAGGCAGCUUACCAGGCUACAACUGACGCUGAGGCACGAAGGUGCGGGGAUCAAACAGGAUUAGAUACCCCGGUAGUCC